Molecule: ribosomal RNA, 637 nt
Filed under: uncultured bacterium
Lineage: Bacteria
Description: bacterial SSU rRNA
Rfam family: Bacterial small subunit ribosomal RNA
Source: RNAcentral
GCUCAACCGAGGAAGUGCUUCGAAAACUGGUAAACUUGAGUGCAGAAGAGGAAAGUGGAACUCCAUGUGUAGCGGUGGAAUGCGUAGAUAUAUGGAAGAACACCAGUGGCGAAGGCGGCUUUCUGGUCUGUAACUGACGCUGAGAUUCGAAAGCAUGGGUAGCAAACAGGAUUAGAUACCCUGGUAGUCCAUGCCGUAAACGAUGAGUGCUAAGUGUUGGAGGGUUUCCGCCCUUCAGUGCUGCAGCUAACGCAUUAAGCACUCCGCCUGGGGAGUACGAUCGCAAGAUUGAAACUCAAAGGAAUUGACGGGGGCCCGCACAAGCGGUGGAGCAUGUGGUUUAAUUCGAAGCAACGCGAAGAACCUUACCAGGUCUUGACAUACCAUGAAAAGCUAAGAGAUUAGUCUUUCCCUUCGGGGACAUGGAUACAGGUGGUGCAUGGUUGUCGUCAGCUCGUGUUGUGAGAUGUUGGGUUAAGUCCCGCAACGAGCGCAACCCUUAUUAUCAGUUGCCAGCAUUCAGUUGGGCACUCUGGUGAGACUGCCGGUGACAAACCGGAGGAAGGUGGGGACGACGUCAAAUCAUCAUGCCCCUUAUGACCUGGGCUACACACGUGCUACAAUGGUCGGUACAACG